RNAcentral lists this ribosomal RNA (801 nucleotides) under uncultured Pseudomonadota bacterium. Its description in RNAcentral is "bacterial SSU rRNA". It matches the Rfam family "Bacterial small subunit ribosomal RNA", at positions 71 to 902 of the family's 1533-position model. Lineage: Bacteria; Pseudomonadati; Pseudomonadota. The record is from RNAcentral.
AAAGUGGAGCAAUCCAUGAGUAAAGUGGCGCACGGGUGAGUAACACGUGAAUGAUCUACCUCCGAGUGGGGAAUAACCUAGAGAAAUCUGGGCUAAUACCGCAUAACACUUACGAGUCAAAGCAGCAAUGCGCUUGGAGAGGAGUUCGCGGCCGAUUAGCUAGUUGGCGGGGUAAUGGCCCACCAAGGCGAUGAUCGGUAUCCGGCCUGAGAGGGCGCACGGACACACUGGAACUGAAACACGGUCCAGACUCCUACGGGAGGCAGCAGUGGGGAAUUUUGCGCAAUGGGGGAAACCCUGACGCAGCAACGCCGCGUGGAGGAUGAAAUCCCUUGGGAUGUAAACUCCUUUCGAUAGGGAAGAUAAUGACGGUACCUAUAGAAGAAGCCCCGGCUAACUUCGUGCCAGCAGCCGCGGUAAUACGAGGGGGGCAAGCGUUGUUCGGAAUUAUUGGGCGUAAAGGGUGCGUAGGCGGUUUGACAAGUCUUAUGUGAAAUCUAUGGGCUCAACCCAUAGUCUGCAUGGGAAACUGUCGGGCUUGAGUAUGGGAGAGGUGAAGUGGAAUUUCCGGUGUAGCGGUGAAAUGCGUAGAUAUCGGAAGGAACACCUGUGGCGAAAGCGGCUCACUGGACCAUUACUGACGCUGAUGCACGAAAGCUAGGGGAGCAAACAGGAUUAGAUACCCUGGUAGUCCUAGCCCUAAACGAUGAUUGCUUGAUGUGGCAGGUACCCAAUCCUGCCGUGUCGAAGCUAACGCGAUAAGCAAUCCGCCUGGGGAGUACGGUCGCAAGGCUGAAACUC